RNAcentral lists this ribosomal RNA (259 nucleotides) under uncultured prokaryote. Its description in RNAcentral is "partial 16S ribosomal RNA". It matches the Rfam family "Bacterial small subunit ribosomal RNA", at positions 524 to 782 of the family's 1533-position model. The record is from RNAcentral.
UACGUAGGGGGCGAGCGUUGUCCGGAAUGAUUGGGCGUAAAGGGCGCGUAGGCGGCUGUGUAAGUCAGUAGUGGAAGUCCAGCUUUUAAGGUUGGAAGUGCUAUUGAAACUGUGCAGCUUGAGUGCAGGAGAGGUUAUCGGAAUUCCCGGUGUAGCGGUGAAAUGCGUAGAGAUCAGGAGGAACACCGAUGGCGAAGGCAGGUCUCUGGGCCACUACUGACGCUGAGAAGCGAAAGCAUGGGGAGCGAACAGGAUUAGA